CCUACGGGAGGCAGCAGUCGAGAAUCUUCCCCAAUGGGCGAAAGCCUGAGGGAGCGACGCCGCGUGAGGGAUGAAGGCCCUUUGGGUUGUAAACCUCUGUUAGGGGGAAAGAAAAGCAGUGGAAGCAAUAUGUCCAUUGCCUGACGUUACCCCCAGAGAAAGCUCCGGCCAACUCCGUGCCAGCAGCCGCGGUAAUACGGGGGGAGCAAGCGUUGUCCGGAAUCAUUGGGCGUAAAGGGCGUGUAGGCGGCUUGGCAAGUCGAAUGUGAAAUCCCACGGCUCAACCGUGGAACUGCGUUCGAAACUGCCUUGCUUGAGUGCGGGAGAGGUGUGCGGAAUUCCUGGUGUAGCGGUGGAAUGCGUAGAUAUCAGGAAGAACACCGGUGGCGAAGGCGGCACACUGGCCCAGCACUGACGCUGAGGCGCGAAAGCGUGGGGAGCGAACGGGAUUAGAUACCCCGGUAGUCCACGCUGUAAACUUUGGGCACUAGGUAUUGGAGGUCUCAACCCCUUCAGUGCCGUAGCUAACGCGUUAAGUGCCCCGCCUGGGGAGUACGGUCGCAAGGCUGAAACUCAAAUGAAUUGACGG
RNAcentral lists this ribosomal RNA (589 nucleotides) under uncultured bacterium. Its description in RNAcentral is "bacterial SSU rRNA". It matches the Rfam family "Bacterial small subunit ribosomal RNA", at positions 338 to 916 of the family's 1533-position model. The record is from RNAcentral.